Drosophila kikkawai is the source of this 821-nucleotide non-coding RNA. The record is from RefSeq and is a predicted model, not a curated record. Lineage: Eukaryota; Metazoa; Arthropoda; Insecta; Diptera; Drosophilidae.
UCGGCAUAGCAGCACAGUUCACUUUCGAGUUUUAACGAGUGACGACGAUACAGAGCGAGCUCAAAAAUCGCUAAGCCGCCGCCAAUAUGUGCGGCGGCCUCAGCCGUUAAUUAAAGUUUGUUAAAUACAAUUAAUUUUGAGAGAUAACCUUCAAGACACUUGGAUUUUUUAUUGGAAAUAUAAAACCAGAAAGAAACAAGCUCAACUCUAUUUACUAUAGAGAAAAUAAAACAAAUAUAAACUCGAUCCAGCUAAGGUUCAACAAGUUAUGAAAACUACUUAAAGAAAUUAUUAAAAUAACCGAAAAAUCAUUAAAAAUAUACAUCAAUUCAGAAUACAAAAGAAAAUUCUUCAAGGAGUCAAGUACAUACAAUUUUCCUGACAAGAAAAACAAAUUAAAAUGAUAAAUAUAUUUAUCAACCAAUAUUAUAAUCGACAGAAGCCUGUAUUAUACAAAACAAUCUUCAAGAAAUCAAUAAAUACAAUUUUCUGAUGUUUCCCAAAAAAAAAAUGGAAUUCUAAAGGUUUAAUUAAUCAUUUAUAAACCAUAUCAACCCGAGAUCCAAAAAAUCAAGGAUGCAACUUAAGAACCUAAAUAUUUCCAAUGAAAUCAUAAAUAAAAAGCUUCAAAAAUAUGAAAGCAAGCACCUGAAAAACUACAAAAUUAAGAAUGAAGUUAACUAUAAAAUUCUAAAAAGCAUCAAAAACACAAGAAGAAACAGCAGUAAACAUAAAUAAAUUAGCACACUGAAGUUUUCAAGAAAUACUCCCACAAGAGUCUUAAAAAUAUAACCACACCGCUAAAAAGAAAAGCAUUUAAA